GAGCCGAUUCUCUGAGAGGUCCGUGGUCUGCAAAACCGCGUAUGAGGGUUUGAUUCCCUCUCGGCUCUCCA
RNAcentral lists this transfer RNA (71 nucleotides) under Labilithrix sp. RNAcentral's name for it is "tRNA-OTHER". It matches the Rfam family "tRNA". From Rfam's summary of the family: Transfer RNA (tRNA) molecules are approximately 80 nucleotides in length. Their secondary structure includes four short double-helical elements and three loops (D, anti-codon, and T loops). The record is from RNAcentral. Lineage: Bacteria; Pseudomonadati; Myxococcota; Polyangiales; Labilitrichaceae. RNAcentral also lists the same sequence under 1 other name.